Molecule: ribosomal RNA, 452 nt
Filed under: uncultured bacterium
Lineage: Bacteria
Description: SSU rRNA
Rfam family: Bacterial small subunit ribosomal RNA
Source: RNAcentral
AGGAUGAACGCUGGCGGUCUGCUUAACACAUGCAAGUCGCACGGGCAGGGGUAACUCUGUCAGUGGCGGACGGGUGAGUAACGCGUAGGUAUCUAUCUCUGGGUGGGGGACAACUGUGGGAAACUACAGCUAAUACCGCAUGACACCUGAGGGUCAAAGGCGCAAGUCGCCUGGAGAGGAGCCUGCGUACGAUUAGCUAGUUGGUGGGGUAAAGGCCUACCAAGGCGACGAUCGUUAGCUGGUCUGAGAGGAUGAUCAGCCACAUUGGGACUGAGACACGGCCCAAACUCCUACGGGAGGCAGCAGUGGGGAAUAUUGGACAAUGGGCGAAAGCCUGAUCCAGCAAUGCCGCGUGUGUGAAGAAGGUCUUCGGAUUGUAAAGCACUUUCGACGGGGACGAUGAUGACGGUACCCGUAGAAGAAGCCCCGGCUAACUUCGUGCCAGCAGCCGC